Molecule: ribosomal RNA, 491 nt
Filed under: uncultured bacterium
Lineage: Bacteria
Description: partial 16S ribosomal RNA
Rfam family: Bacterial small subunit ribosomal RNA
Source: RNAcentral
GUGAACGCUGGCGGUAGACCUAACACAUGCAAGUCGAACGGCAGCACAGUAAGAGCUUGCUCUUACGGGUGGCGAGUGGCGGACGGGUGAGGAAUACAUCGGAAUCUACUUUUUCGUGGGGGAUAACGUAGGGAAACUUACGCUAAUACCGCAUACGACCUACGGGUGAAAGCAGGGGAUCUUCGGACCUUGCGCGAUUGAAUGAGCCGAUGUCGGAUUAGCUAGUUGGCGGGGUAAAGGCCCACCAAGGCGACGAUCCGUAGCUGGUCUGAGAGGAUGAUCAGCCACACUGGAACUGAGACACGGUCCAGACUCCUACGGGAGGCAGCAGUGGGGAAUAUUGGACAAUGGGCGCAAGCCUGAUCCAGCCAUACCGCGUGGGUGAAGAAGGCCUUCGGGUUGUAAAGCCCUUUUGUUGGGAAAGAAAAGCAGCAGGUUAAUACCCCGCUGUUCUGACGGUACCCAAAGAAUAAGCACCGGCUAACUUCGUG